UGAGCAAUCUGCCCUUCUCAUCGGAAUAAGCGUUGGAAAUGACGUCUAAUGCCGAAUACGACCUCCUUUCGCAUGAUCGGAGGUGGAAAGCUCCGGCGGAGAAGGAUGAACUCGCGGCCUAUCAGCUAGUUGGUGUGGGUAAUGGCCCACCAAGGCGACGACGGGUAGCCGGCCUGAGAGGGUGACCGGCCACACUGGGACUGAGACACGGCCCAGACUCCUACGGGAGCAG
This 232-nucleotide ribosomal RNA is filed under the name uncultured bacterium. Its description in RNAcentral is "partial 16S ribosomal RNA". It matches the Rfam family "Bacterial small subunit ribosomal RNA", at positions 118 to 347 of the family's 1533-position model. The record is from RNAcentral.